CAUCUCGGGUCUCCCUUCAAGUCGUAUAAAUCUUUCGCCUUUUACUAAAGAUUUCCGUGGGGGGGGACAUUCUAUGAGAAUUUAACAAUUUUUUGACAGCCUGCCUCCGGGUGGGCG
Molecule: small nuclear RNA, 117 nt
Organism: Folsomia candida
Lineage: Eukaryota; Metazoa; Arthropoda; Collembola; Entomobryomorpha; Isotomidae
Rfam family: U5 spliceosomal RNA
About the family: U5 RNA is a component of both types of known spliceosome. The precise function of this molecule is unknown, though it is known that the 5' loop is required for splice site selection and p220 binding, and that both the 3' stem-loop and the Sm site are important for Sm protein binding and cap methylation.
Source: Rfam